This 598-nucleotide ribosomal RNA is filed under the name uncultured bacterium. RNAcentral's name for it is "bacterial SSU rRNA". It matches the Rfam family "Bacterial small subunit ribosomal RNA", at positions 338 to 945 of the family's 1533-position model. The record is from RNAcentral.
CCUACGGGAGGCAGCAGUGGGGAAUAUUGGGCAAUGGAGGAAACUCUGACCCAGCGACGCCGCGUGCGGGAUGAAGGCCUUCGGGUUGUAAACCGCUUUCAGCAGGGAAUGAGCGCAAGUGAAGGUACCUGCAGAAGAAGCACCGGCUAACUAUGUGCCAGCAGCCGCGGUAAUACAUAGGGUGCAAGCGUUGUCCGGAAUUAUUGGGCGUAAAGAGCUCGUAGGUGGUUUGUUACGUCGGAUGUGAAAAUCAGGGGCUCAACCCCUGACCUGCAUUCGAUACGGGCAAGCUGGAGUUUGGUAGGGGAGACUGGAAUUCCUGGUGUAGCGGUGGAAUGCGCAGAUAUCAGGAGGAACACCGAUGGCGAAGGCAGGUCUCUGGGCCAAUACUGACACUGAGGAGCGAAAGCGUGGGGAGCGAACAGGAUUAGAUACCCGUGGUAGUCCACGCCGUAAACGGUGGGCACUAGUUGUGCGAACCUUCCACGGUUUGUGCGACGCAGCUAACGCAUUAAGUGCCCGCCGUGGGGAGUACGAUCGCAAGUAAUUAAACGUUAAGGAAUUGAGCUUGAGACGNGCGAGACGACGACGAGGAGAG